GAAAUGCGAUAAGUAAUGCGAAUUGCAGAAUUUCCGUGAGUCAUCGAAUCUUUGAACGCACAUUGCGCCCAUUGGCAUUCCGAUGGGCAUGCCUGUUCGAGCGUCAUUAUCCUCCCUCAAACCCCGGGUUUGGUGUUGGACCCAUGUUGUGCGGUGAACAACUGGUCUCAAAGGCAAUGACGGCGUCCGUGGGACCCUCGGUGCAACGAGCUUUUCAGGAGCACGCGUCGAGUUGCAAGGACCCUCCGGGCCGGUCUACCUACAGCUACUUUCAGGUUGACCUCGGAUCAGGUAGGAAUACCCGCUGAACUUAAGC
Molecule: unclassified non-coding RNA, 316 nt
Filed under: plant metagenome
Description: partial contains 5.8S ribosomal RNA, internal transcribed spacer 2, and large subunit ribosomal RNA
Rfam family: 5.8S ribosomal RNA (bases 1-106)
Source: RNAcentral